Molecule: long non-coding RNA, 485 nt
Organism: Pseudophryne corroboree (corroboree frog)
Lineage: Eukaryota; Metazoa; Chordata; Amphibia; Anura; Myobatrachidae
Exons: 3
Source: RefSeq, a predicted model, not a curated record
UGGUGCAGUGGAAGGUGGCGGCCAGCCUGUGACCCUUGGCAGUAGUGUAGCCCGGGGGGCACAUGGCACCCUGCCCCCCGGGCCAGCCCGCCUCUGGCAGUAGCACACCUCACCCGGCUACAGCACCAGCAUGGGGCAUACCGUCAGGGCAUCACAUAUCAACCGCGAGACGCGGCCGGGCGCACAGGAAGUGCGCAGCGCCGGAGGGUGUUGUCACAUGACCCGGCGCCGACGGCGAUGGCAGGGACACACGAGGUGGGAGAGGAAUGAACGAGCUCUCGCUCCCUGGAUACGAUGAACAGGAGAAUGUCGCCAUGGCAACACAGUUGCGCAGUGUCUUCCCCUCCACCUGACUGCUUUAGUAUCCUGCUACUGCUAGAGUCCGUCAUCCAGGCUGUGCAUUACAAUCACCCUCGUGAUUACUGCCACCAAAGCACUUGGCAUGUGGCCAGCAGAUCACCGGCAUCUCCCUGUAUUUCAUAUCG